This 500-nucleotide ribosomal RNA is filed under the name uncultured bacterium. Its description in RNAcentral is "bacterial SSU rRNA". It matches the Rfam family "Bacterial small subunit ribosomal RNA", at positions 28 to 523 of the family's 1533-position model. The record is from RNAcentral.
GAUGAACGCUAGCGGCAGGCCUAACACAUGCAAGUCGAGGGGCAGCGGGAGUAGCAAUACUUGCCGGCGACCGGCGCACGGGUGAGUAACGCGUAUGCAAUCUACCUUUUACUGUGGAAUAGCUCAGAGAAAUCUGGAUUAAUACCGCAUAACACUUUGAAAUGGCAUCAUAAUGAAGUUAAAACUACGGUGGUAAAAGAUGAGCAUGCGUGACAUUAGCUAGUUGGUGAGGUAACGGCUCACCAAGGCGACGAUGUCUAAGGGGUCUGAGAGGAUGAUCCCUCACACUGGUACUGAGACACGGACCAGACUCCUACGGGAGGCAGCAGUGAGGAAUAUUGGUCAAUGGGGGCAACCCUGAACCAGCCAUGCCGCGUGAAGGAAGACUGCCCUAAGGGUUGUAAACUUCUUUUGUACUAGGGUAAACUUGAUCUUGCGAGGUCAACUGAAAGUAUAGUACGAAUAAGCAUCGGCUAACUCCGUGCCAGCAGCCGCGGUAA